UACGUAGGGGGCAAGCGUUGUCCGGAAUCAUUGGGCGUAAAGAGCGUGUAGGCGGUUCGGUAAGUCGGCUGUGAAAGUCCAGGGCUCAACCCUGGAAUGCCAGUGGAAACUGUCGGGCUGGAGUCCGGAAGAGGCGAGUGGAAUUCCUGGUGUAGCGGUGAAAUGCGCAGAUAUCAGGAGGAACACCAAUGGCGAAGGCAGCUCGCUGGGACGGUACUGACGCUGAGACGCGAAAGCGUGGGGAGCAAACAGG
Molecule: ribosomal RNA, 253 nt
Filed under: uncultured bacterium
Lineage: Bacteria
Description: partial 16S ribosomal RNA
Rfam family: Bacterial small subunit ribosomal RNA
Source: RNAcentral